GUGAGGAAUAUUGCGCAAUGGAGGCAACUCUGACGCAGCCAUGCCGCGUGCAGGAAGAAGGCGCUACGCGUUGUAAACUGCUUUUAACCGGGAAGAAACCCCAGGACGUGUCCUGGGUUGACGGUACCGGAGGAAUAAGCACCGGCUAACUUCGUGCCAGCAGCCGCGGUAAUACGAAGGGUGCAAGCGUUAUCCGGAUUCAUUGGGUUUAAAGGGUGCGUAGGCGGGGUGGUAAGUCAGUGGUGAAAUCCUGCGGCUCAACCGUAGAAUUGCCAUUGAUACUGCCAUUCUUGAGUAGGCUCGACGUGGGCGGAAUGUGCCGUGUAGCGGUGAAAUGCUUAGAUAUGGCACAGAACACCGAUAGUGAAGACAGCUCACGAGGGCCAAACUGACGCUGAGGCACGAAAGCGUGGGGAUCGAACAGGAUUAGAAACCCUUGUAGUCC
Molecule: ribosomal RNA, 445 nt
Filed under: uncultured bacterium
Lineage: Bacteria
Description: bacterial SSU rRNA
Rfam family: Bacterial small subunit ribosomal RNA
Source: RNAcentral